RNAcentral lists this ribosomal RNA (1350 nucleotides) under uncultured bacterium. Its description in RNAcentral is "16S ribosomal RNA". It matches the Rfam family "Bacterial small subunit ribosomal RNA", at positions 33 to 1381 of the family's 1533-position model. The record is from RNAcentral.
ACGCUGGCGGCAGGCUUAACACAUGCAAGUCGAACGAUGACUCUCUAGCUUGCUAGAGAAGAUUAGUGGCGGACGGGUGAGUAACAUUUAGGAAUCUGCCUAGUAGUGGGGGAUAGCUCGGGGAAACUCGAAUUAAUACCGCAUACGACCUACGGGUGAAAGGGGGCGCAAGCUCUUGCUAUUAGAUGAGCCUAAAUCAGAUUAGCUAGUUGGUGGGGUAAAGGCCCACCAAGGCGACGAUCUGUAACUGGUCUGAGAGGAUGAUCAGUCACACCGGAACUGAGACACGGUCCGGACUCCUACGGGAGGCAGCAGUGGGGAAUAUUGGACAAUGGGGGCAACCCUGAUCCAGCCAUGCCGCGUGUGUGAAGAAGGCCUUUUGGUUGUAAAGCACUUUAAGCAGGGAGGAGAGACUAAUGGUUAAUACCCAUUAGAUUAGACGUUACCUGCAGAAUAAGCACCGGCUAACUCUGUGCCAGCAGCCGCGGUAAUACAGAGGGUGCGAGCGUUAAUCGGAAUUACUGGGCGUAAAGCGAGUGUAGGUGGCUCAUUAAGUCACAUGUGAAAUCCCCGGGCUUAACCUGGGAACUGCAUGUGAUACUGGUGGUGCUAGAAUAUGUGAGAGGGAAGUAGAAUUCCAGGUGUAGCGGUGAAAUGCGUAGAGAUCUGGAGGAAUACCGAUGGCGAAGGCAGCUUCCUGGCAUAAUAUUGACACUGAGAUUCGAAAGCGUGGGUAGCAAACAGGAUUAGAUACCCUGGUAGUCCACGCCGUAAACGAUGUCUACUAGCCGUUGGGGUCCUUGAGACUUUAGUGGCGCAGUUAACGCGAUAAGUAGACCGCCUGGGGAGUACGGCCGCAAGGUUAAAACUCAAAUGAAUUGACGGGGGCCCGCACAAGCGGUGGAGCAUGUGGUUUAAUUCGAUGCAACGCGAAGAACCUUACCUGGUCUUGACAUAGUGAGAAUCCUGUAGAGAUGCGGGAGUGCCUUCGGGAAUUCACAUACAGGUGCUGCAUGGCUGUCGUCAGCUCGUGUCGUGAGAUGUUGGGUUAAGUCCCGCAACGAGCGCAACCCUUUUCCUUAUUUGCCAGCGGGUUAAGCCGGGAACUUUAAGGAUACUGCCAGUGACAAACUGGAGGAAGGCGGGGUCGACGUCAAGUCAUCAUGGCCCUUACGACCAGGGCUACACACGUGCUACAAUGGUAGGUACAGAGGGUUGCUACACAGCGAUGUGAUGCUAAUCUCAAAAAGCCUAUCGUAGUCCGGAUUGGAGUCUGCAACUCGACUCCAUGAAGUCGGAAUCGCUAGUAAUCGCAGAUCAGAAUGCUGCGGUGAAUACGUUCCCGGGCCU